This 112-nucleotide transfer RNA is filed under the name Hordeum vulgare subsp. vulgare (domesticated barley). It matches the Rfam family "tRNA". Rfam says of the family: Transfer RNA (tRNA) molecules are approximately 80 nucleotides in length. Lineage: Eukaryota; Viridiplantae; Streptophyta; Magnoliopsida; Poales; Poaceae. The record is from Rfam by way of RNAcentral.
GUUUUCAUAGCUCAGUUGGUUAGAGCACUUGUUUAGUAAGCGGGAUGUCUUAAGUUUUUGAAGGCUUUUUUUUUAAGGCGGGAUGUCUUAAGUUGAAGUCUGAAUGAAAGCA